RNAcentral lists this small RNA (385 nucleotides) under Drosophila virilis. Its description in RNAcentral is "GJ26344". The record is from RNAcentral. Lineage: Eukaryota; Metazoa; Arthropoda; Insecta; Diptera; Drosophilidae.
UUUAGUUUUCAUAGAGGCAUUGAUGUGCACACGUGUUCACAUUUCAAGUUGAAAAAAUUUAUUCGUUAGUGCAUUGUUUUGAGCGUAUUUGUUUCUAAAAUGUUAGGUUUAGUACUUAAGGUAAUUGUGCCCGUCCUGAUGCGCUCCAUGAUACCAUCUGUGGGCCGUAAUCUUGUCCAGUGCGGAUCCAAAUCAUGUUUGUCGCUGCCAUUGCGCAGGGGUCUACAUAUGCGACAUGGUCUAGAAGUGAUGCGAUCACAGGAAGGAGCUCGUUGAUUUUUUAGGAUUCUGUUUGCCGUAUAUCGUGUACUUGUCGCUCGUAUAUGUUAUUUUAGUGUGUGUAUAAUUUUCAAAAACAAAAAUUAAAAUGUUAAUCCAAAUGGAA